AUCAGCGAUGAUAGUGGUACGGAAGUAGAGAGGGAGACGAGUGAACAGACGUGAGGAUGGCGUAGGGGUAGAUGAGAAGCUGUCUUUACGACGGGUAGCUGUGGUUGAAGAUUUCUUUGACAUUAUUUAUUCGAUGCAUGUGGAAACGGGACCAAAUGGAGAACAAAUUCGGAAACACGCUGGACAAAAGAGAACUUACAAAGCAAUUUCAGAGAGCUAUGCCUUCCUACCAAGAGAAGCGGUGACACGAUUUCUAAUGAGCUGCUCAGAGUGCCAGAAAAGAAUGCAUUUAAACCCAGAUGGAACAGAUCAUAAAGAUAAUGGAAAACCUCCCACUUUGGUGACCAGCAUGAUUGACUACAACAUGCCAAUUACCAUGGCCUACAUGAAGCACAUGAAGCUGCAGCUGCUAAACUCACAGCAAGAUGAGGAUGAAAGUUCAAUAGAAAGUGAUGAAUUUGACAUGAGUGAUUCAACACGGAUGUCAGCUGUGAACUCUGAUCUUAGCUCCAAUCUUGAAGAAAGAAUGCAAAGUCCCCAGAAUCUUCAUGGCCAGCAAGAUGGUAA
RNAcentral lists this small RNA (567 nucleotides) under Pan troglodytes (chimpanzee). RNAcentral's name for it is "processed transcript". The record is from RNAcentral. Lineage: Eukaryota; Metazoa; Chordata; Mammalia; Primates; Hominidae.